CGGACGGGUGAGUAACGCGUGGGUAACCUGCCUCAUACAGGGGGAUAACAGUUAGAAAUGGCUGCUAAUACCGCAUAAGCGCACAGUACCGCAUGGUACGGUGUGAAAAACUCCGGUGGUAUGAGAUGGACCCGCGUCUGAUUAGGUAGUUGGUGGGGUAACGGCCUACCAAGCCGACGAUCAGUAGCCGACCUGAGAGGGUGACCGGCCACACUGGGACUGAGACACGGCCCAG
RNAcentral lists this ribosomal RNA (235 nucleotides) under uncultured bacterium. Its description in RNAcentral is "partial 16S ribosomal RNA". It matches the Rfam family "Bacterial small subunit ribosomal RNA", at positions 99 to 334 of the family's 1533-position model. The record is from RNAcentral.